CAAGCCCACGCCUUCCUCUUUACUUGCUUGUAGUGUGAGUGCCAGUGUGCCACUUCCAAGAGCUACCUCACAAGGAACUACAAAUCUUUAACUUCUGACAUCUCUCUCCCUCUUUCUUUCUUGCUUCAAGUGGAAGCUCGCAUAGAGAGAGAGAGAAGAGAGAGAGAGAGAGAGAGAGCUAAAAUAGGAAAGGGAAAAUGGGUGUAGGCGCCAGCAACUUUGUCAUCAGAUGGAUCAACUUUCUCACCAUGCUUUUAGCUAUAGCUGUCAUAAUUUUUGGAGUAUGGAUGAGCACACAUCCUGACAGCUGCCGAAGGUUUCUCACUCUCCCUGUGCUAGGCCUUGGGGCUUUCAUAUUUGUAAUAUCAAUAAUCGGCUUCUUGGGUGCGCUGAAGAACAACUCCAUAUUGUUGUGGAUUUAUCUGAUUUUGCUGUGCGUCAUUUUGGUGGCUAUUCUGGUUUUCACAGUAUUGGCGUUUAUUGUAACAAAUAAUGGAUCUGGUCAUAGUGUCCCUGGUUUGAGGUAUAAGGAGUAUGAACUUCAGGAUUUCAGCUCAUGGUUUCUUAAACAGCUGAAAGAUACCCAAAAUUGGAAGCAAUUGAAGAGUUGUCUUGUGAAAUCUGAUGACUGCAAUAAUCUAUCCAAGA
Molecule: unclassified non-coding RNA, 648 nt
Filed under: Hevea brasiliensis (rubber tree)
Lineage: Eukaryota; Viridiplantae; Streptophyta; Magnoliopsida; Malpighiales; Euphorbiaceae
Source: RNAcentral